AGUUGGAGCUCAGGAUUCGCGUGUUUAAAUUACGCAAUCGAAAGACCUUCGACCCGAAAACAUUCGCAGACAAUGAGCGCUAGGAAAGUAUAAAUCUUACCUCUAAAUUCCUCUCGUGUAUGCGCGUCCUUCAAUGCUGAACAAAGGGACGAAAAUGUUAAUCCUGACUGAGUGUAAUCCUUUCCGGAGGAUGUAAACGGAUAAGUCCCUCCUCUGUGUGUAGACGUGAGGAAAUCUCGUAACGAAUUCUUCGUAACUUCAGAGCCAAUGGAGAUAUCAGUAAAUAGUGGUUUUGAGCGGAAUGACGACCUGCGAUCGUAAAGAAUGAUCACUUGAGUUGAUAAAAUUGAUGGGAGUCACCGGUUUAUUCUUUACGUGUAUUAAAUCGUAACGUAGCCUGUUACACGGGUUACAAUCAUUUGGUGAAAGGCCGGACAACGCCCCGCGGCCUUCCCGCUUUGCAGAAAUCCUGUGUUAAUAAUCUCAUCGAGAUCACUCCCAGAUAACCGUCAGUUAUCGUAAUUAGAUGAUUUAUUAUUUGAAAUGGUAAGAAAAAAUCUCCAACGACAAAUGAGAGAAACGAAUGGAAAAUUAAUGAUGACAGGUAGAAAACAAUGGAGAGGAAAAUGUGAAGCAGGGAUUACCACUGAUUGUCAUACGCUGGAGGCACUCGGAGAAAAUGAAGACAAUGUCGAGAAAUUGCGAGUCUCGUAGGACGUUUUGAGUCCCAGGAAUAAUGGGGAUUUGAGGUGGGGGACCGAAAACGUUGGGCAAAAUGGAUGAGAGAUUUCCUUGAAGGUUUGAGAGGACGCGCGAAAGAAAAAGGCGGGGAUGUUGCUGAUGAAGAAAGGCUACAAGAGUAUAUAAAGAGUGGUCAGACGCCUUGGAGCAUCAUACUCGACUUCAAAUCAUGAAGGUCUUCGGCGUAGCUUUUCUAUUUGCCUUCGUCGCCACUUGCUAUGGGGGUUACAUUAGCAGCGGUUGGUCUGGCGGUGGCGGUGGGGGUGGCGGUGGCUGG
Long non-coding RNA from Fopius arisanus, 1018 nucleotides. RefSeq lists it as uncharacterized. The record is from RefSeq and is a predicted model, not a curated record. Lineage: Eukaryota; Metazoa; Arthropoda; Insecta; Hymenoptera; Braconidae. The transcript is spliced from 5 exons.